Molecule: ribosomal RNA, 255 nt
Filed under: Agathobacter rectalis
Lineage: Bacteria; Bacillati; Bacillota; Clostridia; Lachnospirales; Lachnospiraceae
Description: partial 23S ribosomal RNA
Rfam family: Bacterial large subunit ribosomal RNA
Source: RNAcentral
AGCGAAAGAGGCCAAACCGGAGUGCGUGCACUCCGGGGUUCGGACCGCAUUUAAGAUUCAGUGAUUCUAGCAGAAAGGUUUGGGAAAGCCUGCCGGAGAGGGUGAAAGCCCCGUAAGCGAAAGGAGAACUGACUGAGCGGGAUCCAGAGUACAUCGAGACACGAGAAACCUUGAUGGAAAGAGCGGGGACCACCCCGUAAGCCUAAAUACUACUUAGUGACCGAUAGCGCAUAGUACUGUGAAGGAAAGGUGAAA